Salmo salar (Atlantic salmon) is the source of this 272-nucleotide non-coding RNA. The record is from RefSeq and is a predicted model, not a curated record. Lineage: Eukaryota; Metazoa; Chordata; Actinopteri; Salmoniformes; Salmonidae.
AUUGUUGUUCAUAAUGAAAUAGGGCUAGGUCACCUCUAAACAGAGUUAUAUUGUUGUUUAUAAUGAAAUAGGGCUAGGUCACCUCUAAACAGAGUUAUAUUGUUGUUUAUAAUGAAAUAGGGCUAGGUCAACUCUAAACAGUUAUAUUGUUGUUUAUAAUGAAAUAGGGCUAGGUCAACUCUAAACAGAGUUAUAUUGUUGUUUAUAAUGAAAUAGGGCUAGGUCAACUCUAAACUACCAAACCAAAGUAAUCAAAAUCCCAUUUCCUAAAU